This 415-nucleotide ribosomal RNA is filed under the name uncultured bacterium. RNAcentral describes it as "bacterial SSU rRNA". It matches the Rfam family "Bacterial small subunit ribosomal RNA", at positions 29 to 491 of the family's 1533-position model. The record is from RNAcentral.
AACGAACGCUGGCGGCAGGCCUAACACAUGCAAGUCGAGCGCCCCGCAAGGGGAGCGGCGGACGGGUGAGUAACGCGUGGGAACGUACCCUUUGCUACGGAAUAGCCUCGGGAAACUGGGAGUAAUACCGUAUGUGCCCUUCGGGGGAAAGAUUUAUCGGCAAAGGAUCGGCCCGCGUUGGAUUAGGUAGUUGGUGGGGUAAUGGCCUACCAAGCCGACGAUCCAUAGCUGGUUUGAGAGGAUGAUCAGCCACACUGGGACUGAGACACGGCCCAGACUCCUACGGGAGGCAGCAGUGGGGGAAUCUUAGACAAAUGGGCGCAAGCCUGAUCUAGCCAUGCCGCGUGAGCGAUGAAGGCCUUAGGGUUGUAAAGCUCUUUCAGUGGGAAGAUAAUGACUGUACCACAGAAGAAGA